RNAcentral lists this non-coding RNA (89 nucleotides) under Pseudomonas sp. LAMO17WK12:I5. The record is from RNAcentral. RNAcentral also lists the same sequence under 1 other name. Lineage: Bacteria; Pseudomonadati; Pseudomonadota; Gammaproteobacteria; Pseudomonadales; Pseudomonadaceae.
UGUGGGAGCGGGCUUGCUCGCGAAAGCGGUGUGUCAGGCGAUAUUUUCGUAUCUGAUACACCGCCUUCGCGAGCAAGCCCGCUCCCACA